GGAGGGGCCACCUCGGAGACCUUCAAAUAUUUUGAUGGUCACUGCCAUGCGAGAACAUAGGCUGGGACUGCGGGCUCCCCAAUUUCACCCCAGCUGAGCGAGACUAACAGUGGGACCGGCAAGACGGCUUCUCAGCCCUUUGUGAGCGCCGGAGUCAAUAUCCAGUCUGUGGCAGUCCAGGACCACCAGAGCCAACUCAGCAGACGGUGUCCCAAACCUGCUCUCUUCCCUCCCUCCCCGAACAGAGCACACUGUCGAGCAUCUAGUAUCUUCAAGACGUUUAGAGAGAUUAGGCUCUGUGGCCUGGCCCCCCACCACCACCGGGAACAUCAUUCCUGUGAGAAAACGCUCAGCGAGUUCCCAGCUGCUGACUCCCCUGGGGACACCAGCACACGGAGAGGCGCCGGAUCGGACACCUGCUGGUGAGAACAGGCCUGCAGGCACUCUGGGGCCCAGGCAAGGGCGGUGAGAGGAACGAGCAGGCUGGGCUGACAGGUGCAGGGUGGUCGGCAUGGCUGACUUAGAAAUGCAUAAAACAUUAAUAAUAAAGCCCCAAGAGUGACGACGCCAGAGGCCAUUCCAUCCUGUGAUUCAUUCAACACAUACUGAUGAGCACCUACUAUGUGCUCGGACGCCUGAGGAGGCCAAGGUGAAUAAGAGACGCCACAGACCCGCAGGAAAGACCGACGACUAGAAGGACAACUGGGUCACUGCACCCACCCUGUGCUGCUGGGGCACAGGGACCUGUUGGUGACCUGGGACCCCAGGGGAGGAAGACACUGCACCUGGCCCUGGGGUACUGGGGACGGUCUGCUGGAGGGGCUGAGUGGGGAGGAAUGGGAGGGCCUCCUGUGACAGAAAAAGGUGGGCAAGGCCUUUCGGAAGAGAGCAGUGGCAUUUUUUUAAGACUUGCAGGUGAGAAAGAGGAGAGCUGGCCAAGGCCACAGCCCGGGUCUGUGGGAGACGGAGAAGGAGGGAGGGGGAAGGAGCUAGGUCCUGAGGAGCCUCGAGGGUCGGACCGCAGAGCACGGGUUUCACGCUGCAGAGUCCGGAGUGCAGACCGGUGGUUUGCGAACAUUUUGCUGUGUACCCCCUAAAAAAAUUAGAAAAGCUGUGUACCCCGUCCACAUUUUAAUGGCUGCAAAUGGUAUAAAUCCAGGAAGAUGGUAAGUCUUGCAAUAGAAAUAAUACAUUCAUCUUCUCUGUGUAUCCAGAGAAAUUGAAAUACUAUAGUGAUUUAUACUUAUUCCUAUCCAGUUAAAAUAUGUGAUUAAACUCUUCUUUCACAGUGAGAAAUUUAUGCUGGUAAUUCCUGUUCUUGAAUUUGUAUUUCAAUGAAAAGUCUACUUCCUGGCAUUUUCUUCAAUUAUUGAAUUUUAUUCCAAUGUAAUAUACUUUUUAUGAUUGAA
Molecule: long non-coding RNA, 1409 nt
Organism: Phyllostomus hastatus (greater spear-nosed bat)
Lineage: Eukaryota; Metazoa; Chordata; Mammalia; Chiroptera; Phyllostomidae
Exons: 3
Source: RefSeq, a predicted model, not a curated record